RNAcentral lists this ribosomal RNA (614 nucleotides) under bacterium. RNAcentral's name for it is "bacterial SSU rRNA". The record is from RNAcentral.
AUGGACAAGACUGUCGCUCAGGUGCUUGAGCGUGGGGAGCAAACAGGAUUAGAUACCCUGGUAGUCCACGCUGUAAACGAUGUCUAUUUGGAGGUUGUUCCCUAUAGGAGUGGCUUCCGGAUCUAACGCGUUAAAUCCACCGCCUGGGGAGUACGGCCGCAAGGUUAAAACUCAAAUGAAUUGACGGGGGCCCGCUCAAGSGGGGGAUCAUGUGGUUUAAUUCGAUGCAACGCUAACAACCUUACCUACUCUUGACAUCCAGAGAAUUUAACAGAGAUGCUUUAUUGCCUUCGGGAACUCUGAGACAGGUGCUGCAUGGCUGUCUUCAGCUCGUGUUGUGAAAUGUCGCGUUAACCCCCGCUACGAGCGCACCCCUUAUCCUUUGUUGCCAUUUAUUCUGUCGGGAACUCUCACGAGACUGCCGGUGAUAAACCGUAGGAACGUGGGGAUGACCUCUAGGGAUCAUGGUCCUUACGAAUAUGGCUACACACGUGCUACAAUGGGGUAUCCAAACAUAAUUGACCUCCCGAGAUUCAGAGGAACUCAUAAAGUUCUUCGCAGGCCGGAUUGGACUCUGCAACUCUACUCCCUGAUCUCUGCAUCUUUAACCGAGA